Molecule: transfer RNA, 74 nt
Filed under: Vibrio parahaemolyticus
Lineage: Bacteria; Pseudomonadati; Pseudomonadota; Gammaproteobacteria; Vibrionales; Vibrionaceae
Also listed under: 3 other names
Description: tRNA-Ile
Rfam family: tRNA
About the family: Transfer RNA (tRNA) molecules are approximately 80 nucleotides in length. Their secondary structure includes four short double-helical elements and three loops (D, anti-codon, and T loops).
Source: RNAcentral
UGAUGUGUAGCUCAGUUGGUGAGAGCGCUCAACUUAUAAUUGAGAGGUCGCUAGUUCAAGUCUAGCUACAUCAA